CAGCCGCGGUAAUUCCAGCUCCAAUAGCGUAUAUUAAAGUUGUUGCGGUUAAAAAGCUCGUAGUUGGAUCUCGGCGGGCAGGGGGUGGUUCGCUCUUCAGCGCUACUGCCCCGCUUUGCCCGUGUGAUUGGCGGAGGUUUCGGGGUGCUCUUCGUUGAGUGACUCGGAGCGCCGUCAGGUUUACUUUGAAAAAAUUAGAGUGCUCAAAGCAGGCUUUUCACGCUUGAAUAUUCGUGCAUGGAAUAAUGGAAUAGGAACUCGUUUCUAUUUUGUUGGUUUUCGGAAAUCGAGUUAAUGAUUAACAGGGACAAUUGGGGGCAUUAGUAUUCAGACGACAGAGGUGAAAUUCUUGGACCGUCUGAAGACUGACUACUGCGAAAGCAUUUGCCAAGAGUGUUUUCAUUAAUCAAGAACGAAAGUUAGAGGUUCGAAGGCGAUCAGAUACCGCCCUAGUUCUAACCAUAAACGAUGCCAGCUAGCGAUCUGCCGAGUUUUUUUUGUAGGCUCCGCAGGAAGCUUUCGGGAAACCAAAGCUUUUGGGUUCCGGGGGAAGUAUGGUUGCAAAGCUGAAACUUAAAGGAAUUGACGGAAGGGCACCACCAGGAGUGGAGCCUGCGGCUUAAUUUGACUCAACACGGGAAAUCUCACCAGGCCCGGACACUGGAAGGAUUGACAGAUUGAGAGCUCUUUCUCGAUUCGGUGGGUGGUGGUGCAUGGCCGUUCUUAGUUGGUGGAGUGAUUUGUCUGGUUAAUUCCGAUAACGAACGAGACUCUGUCCUGCUAAAUAGUUGGGUCGUCCUUCGUGCGACCCAAGUUCUUCUUAGAGGGACUGGCUGCGUCUAGCAGCACGAGAUUGAGCAAUAACAGGUCUGUGAU
RNAcentral lists this ribosomal RNA (876 nucleotides) under uncultured eukaryote. RNAcentral's name for it is "SSU rRNA". It matches the Rfam family "Eukaryotic small subunit ribosomal RNA", at positions 571 to 1468 of the family's 1831-position model. The record is from RNAcentral.